UUGGAUUGGUAUUUGGUAUCGGCUGACACCCAGGAUGAGGUGUUGGAAUCAUUAUUGAGGAAGAAAAAAUUGCAUUAGUGCAUCCCUAGUUCUUUUUUCUGUGGCUAGCUCUCCCACUGUUAAUUGAUCCUGAUAUCAAAUAAAAUACUCACACAACACUGGACAGUAUAGGGUUGACACACUUCAAUGAUCAGGGGAAUACAACAAUAGAGCAAUGGUGUAACCAUCACAGAGAUUUAUCCAUAAUUAGCUGACCAAAUCAAGCUCUUACUGACUCUCUGUGUAUUUGGUCUUGCUGCUUUUAUAAUAAAUUAUACUGUACUAUACUGUACAAGAAAGUGUGACCUAGAGAGCAUGACCCAUCUCACUCUGCCUUUUACCCCCCACAAGCUUAGCGAUCACUUUUCUGUUUGGCCCAGUUUGCCUGAAUGGAUUAUUCUGAAUAUUGUAUGAUCUCACACAAAUGGAUGUCUGCUAUUUACCUUCCAUGGUUUCUGUAGAAAGGUUCAAGAAAGCAACUAUGAAAUACUCUUUAAUGGAGGUGAUGAAGGAAUUCAUACAUUUACCCAACCAACCAGUUAGUCUUCAUCCUUGAAGUCUGUCUCGUUCUGAUAAAGCACAAAUCUCACCUUUGUGUCACUUGUCCUUGUAAGUUUUCUAUUGCCACACCUUGUUUGGCUCAUUGUGGUGUGUCAAGCCGUAACAGACCCAUUACUUCCCUGUGAGGCUCCAUACACCCACCAGUACGUGACAGUUGGUAAGAACUGCAGUUGUAGCAGCUGUUUUUCUCUCAGCGGCCUCAAGUGGCAACAAUGAGCCCAUUCCUUACUCCAAGUGACACAAGGGCCACUGUUAACCAUGCCAUAUACUGCAUUGCAACGUCAGGUCACUGGAUGUACAGCAUGAUCAUGGACUUUUAAUGGACUUCUUUUCCAUUCAGUGUGGAAUUUUCCAAGUACAGCCAGUGCUGCAGUGGUCAGAGUGAUGGCGUAAAGGAAGACGAAAAGGAAGGAGGCAGAAUGAAGGGUGAACGUGACUUAACACACACCAAAAAAAAACAAACAAACACCCUUCUGAGCCCUUGUGAUGAAGGACCCACCACCUUAUCUUCCUCAGCAAAUUCAGUGGAAAAAUACCAGACAGACAUAAAGAUACAGAGGCAGCUGAGAUGGAGAGCCCCCAAAAACACCGACGAGCUGAAUGUUUAAAGUUAUUGUAAAGUGGAUGCUACAGAAUCUCUUAGUUAGUUUACUUUAAUUUUCAUUUAACUCAUUUAUAAAUAUUACGAAUCUGCCUAAACCCUAAUGGUGUUAAUAAAAAAGACAUACAUGAAAUAAAUUAAAGGUUAUGUAGGCAUAUAUGAAAUUCACUGCCUCUGCAUGUCAGACUACAGCAUCAGCAUCUCAAAUCAAAACAAAUCCCUUGCAGAUAAUGGAAAACACACUUCAAACUGGACACAAACAAAAUAAACAAAUCAAGCAGGUGAUGUUUCCAUGUGUAUAUUUUAAAGAUAUCUUCUUGCUAGGUUCCCACUAUUACAUUUUGCAAUGUAAACGUUAUUGCACCUCUAUGUAAGUCUGACCAAUUACAUGGGAUAAGCUUUGAAAUGUGUUUACUCAUAUCACAUCAUUUCCUAAAUUCCAUUAACUGGGCCUACAUUUUCCCAAAUGACAGAAAAAUUAUUUCCAAUGAAUUGACUGUAGUUUUUUGUCUCUUUUUAGACCUUUGAAAAAGUAAGGAGUCUCUGAAGGCCAGUAUAAAAAAGAUAAUACUGUCUGCCUAAAAAUCAUCAUGCCUCUCUUCAGAGAGAAACCAGUCAACUGCUCCUACGUCGUCAGUUUGAACUUGGCAGUGGUAAUGAUGGCUACAGAUAAAGGUGACGAUUCCUCAUCAGAACACCCGUGGCCAUUAUCUGAGGUCUAUGUUUGGGAUUUUUCAAAUGAAGAAAGAUCCAUAUUGUUUUAAAUAUUUGCUCUGUUUUCCACAUACAAACUUCAUCACGGCUCAUGAAAAACCUGAGAAAACAUUUUGAGUUUGUUGAAUUCCAUAUAAACAUUUUAAACAGUUUUCUGUGAUUUUA
Molecule: long non-coding RNA, 2080 nt
Organism: Dicentrarchus labrax (European seabass)
Lineage: Eukaryota; Metazoa; Chordata; Actinopteri; Moronidae
Exons: 4
Source: RefSeq, a predicted model, not a curated record